GCCUGAUGCAGCGACGCCGCGUGAGGGAUGACGGCCUUCGGGUUGUAAACCUCUUUCAGCAGGGACGAAGCGCAAGUGACGGUACCUGUAGAAGAAGCACCGGCCAACUACGUGCCAGCAGCCGCGGUAAUACGUAGGGUGCGAGCGUUGUCCGGAAUUACUGGGCGUAAAGAGCUCGUAGGUGGUUUGUCGCGUUGUUCGUGAAAACUCACAGCUCAACUGUGGGCGUGCGGGCGAUACGGGCAGACUUGAGUACUGCAGGGGAGACUGGAAUUCCUGGUGUAGCGGUGGAAUGCGCAGAUAUCAGGAGGAACACCGGUGGCGAAGGCGGGUCUCUGGGCAGUAACUGACGCUGAGGAGCGAAAGCGUGGGGAGCGAACAGGAUUAGAUACCCUGGUAGUCCACGCCGUAAACGGUGGGUACUAGGUGUGGGUUUCCUUCCUUGGGAUCCGUGCCGUAGCUAACGCAUUAAGUACCCCGCCUGGGGAGUACGGCCGCAAGGCUAAAACUCAAAGAAAUUGACGGGGGCCCGCACAAGCGGCGGAGCAUGUGGAUUAAUUCGAUGCAACGCGAAGAACCUUACCUGGGUUUGACAUGCACAGGACGCCGGCAGAGAUGUCGGUUCCCUUGUGGCCUGU
Molecule: ribosomal RNA, 638 nt
Filed under: Mycobacterium sp. Se3Ps_2531
Lineage: Bacteria; Bacillati; Actinomycetota; Actinomycetes; Mycobacteriales; Mycobacteriaceae
Description: bacterial SSU rRNA
Rfam family: Bacterial small subunit ribosomal RNA
Source: RNAcentral